RNAcentral lists this long non-coding RNA (1003 nucleotides) under Sus scrofa (pig). RNAcentral describes it as "lncRNA (ENSSSCG00015027747.1)". The record is from RNAcentral. Lineage: Eukaryota; Metazoa; Chordata; Mammalia; Artiodactyla; Suidae.
CAGGAAUUUCCACAUGCUGUGGGUACAGCCAAAAAGGAAAAAAAAAAAAAAAAAAAAAUUGGGCAACCCUAUAUAGUUCCCUGGGAAUAGGAUAAGCAUAGCCCACAGGUCUCUGCCACCCAAGAAUUUUUAACCUGGUCUUCUGAAGGGAAUUGAAUAGUGGGAACUCAUUUACUGAGCACCUGCUAUAUAUAACUUCAAAGUUCUUCAGGAUUACACUAUAUUUAUACAUACAGAUAUUCAUAGCUUUGCCUCAAUUCCAAGAAAAACUAAAUUACAUUCUGUUCUCUGUUUCAGAAGACAGCAGGGAUAUACAAUCCAUUAUGAGAACCUUAGGAACUCUUUUACUGAUGAACAGUUUCGGUCCCCAAACUCCACUGUUCACUGGUCCCCGUAUUCAUAAGUCCAGGUUCUGCUGUGACACACUGCGACAUCAAGGGGCCAGCCGACACAGAAAUUACUUUGUACGAUCUUCAGUGCCAUCUGCUGGAAGCAGACAAAGUUGAUCUACUGUUACUCCAUAAGGCAGGUUCAUUUUAUUUUCAAUUUUUAUUUAUUUUCCUUUUUAUGGGUCACACCCUAGGCAUAUGGAAGUUCCAAGGUCACGGGUCUAAUUGGAGCUGUAGCCUCUGGCCUACAUCACGGCCACAGCUACGCGGGAUCUGAGCCUCGUCUGCGACCUACACCACGGCUCAUGGCAACACCGGAUCCCUGACCCACUGAGUGAGGCCAGGGAUCAAACCUGCACCCUCAUGGAUACUAGUUGGAUUCCUUUCUGCUGAGACACGAUGGGAACUCACUGGAACCAGUAUCCUUAAGGACACUAACCCUUAAUAGCCUAGAAUAUGACUAUAUUUGAAGACAGAACCUUUAAAGUGGUAAUUAAGGCAAAAUGAAGUCAAAUGGUUGGGCCCUAAUCCACUAUGUCCUUUCUGUGGGGUCCUUCCUUUCCUCUGUAUUAUAUUCAAGUAUUGAAAUCAAAUAAAUUUAUUUUCUUGGUUCA